CCGACAUGGACGUGGCUGCUCCCGGGUGGUCACCCUCCCCGGGCUCUGUUCAGGUGGAGGGGCCUGUGAUGGACAGUCCUUUUCCACACGUCGGAGAGCACGCCGGCCUUGUGUCUGCGCCCGCAUGUCCCGACAGCCUCCCCGCGUCCCGUGCACAGUGACUGAGGGGACAAACUGUGCAGAAGACAGCC
This 191-nucleotide small nucleolar RNA is filed under the name Echinops telfairi (small Madagascar hedgehog). RNAcentral's name for it is "Small nucleolar RNA SNORA73 family (ENSETEG00000024149.1)". It matches the Rfam family "Small nucleolar RNA SNORA73 family". Rfam says of the family: U17 (SNORA73A and SNORA73B) also known as E1 belongs to the H/ACA class of small nucleolar RNAs (snoRNAs). Lineage: Eukaryota; Metazoa; Chordata; Mammalia; Afrosoricida; Tenrecidae. The record is from RNAcentral.